Molecule: non-coding RNA, 74 nt
Organism: Podarcis lilfordi (Lilford's wall lizard)
Lineage: Eukaryota; Metazoa; Chordata; Lepidosauria; Squamata; Lacertidae
Source: the annotation of a GenBank genome assembly
GCCAGGGAUAGCUCAGUCCAUAGAACAUGAGACUCUUAAUCUCAGGGUUAUGGGUUUGAGCCCCAGGCUGGGCA